RNAcentral lists this long non-coding RNA (178 nucleotides) under Mizuhopecten yessoensis (Yesso scallop). Its description in RNAcentral is "uncharacterized LOC110465279, transcript variant X2". Lineage: Eukaryota; Metazoa; Mollusca; Bivalvia; Pectinida; Pectinidae. The record is from RNAcentral.
CCCCUCCACAACAACAGGUCGGCACCACACCGCUACAACUGGUUGUUUUAGAGCCUUACCUCUACAAAAACAAAUACUGAUAUUUCCCCUCCACAACAACAGGUCGGCACCACACUGCUACAACUGGUUGUUUUAGAGCCUUACCUUUACAAAAACAAAUACUGAUAUCUCCCCUCCA